This 386-nucleotide ribosomal RNA is filed under the name uncultured bacterium. RNAcentral describes it as "bacterial SSU rRNA". It matches the Rfam family "Bacterial small subunit ribosomal RNA", at positions 28 to 411 of the family's 1533-position model. The record is from RNAcentral.
GACGAACGCUGGCGGCGUGCUUAACACAUGCAAGUCGAGCGGUAAGGCCCUUUCGGGGGUACACGAGCGGCGAACGGGUGAGUAACACGUGGGUGACCUGCCCUCAGCUCUGGGAUAAGCCCGGGAACUGGGGUCUAAAUACUGGAUAUGACUCCACGGUGCCAUGCCGUGGGGUGGAAAGCCUUGUGCGGCUGAGGAUGGGCCCGCGGCCUAUCAGCUUGUUGGGUGGGGUGAUGGCCUACCAAGGCGACGACGGGUAGCCGGCCUGAGAGGGCGACCGGCCACACUGGGACUGAGACACGGCCCAGACUCCUACGGGAGGGCAGCAGUGGGGAAUCUUGCGCAAUGGGCGAAAGCCUGACGCAGCGACGCCGCGUGAGGGAUGA